RNAcentral lists this ribosomal RNA (306 nucleotides) under uncultured soil bacterium. Its description in RNAcentral is "bacterial SSU rRNA". It matches the Rfam family "Bacterial small subunit ribosomal RNA", at positions 26 to 330 of the family's 1533-position model. The record is from RNAcentral.
AGAUUGAACGCUGGCGGCAGGCCUAACACAUGCAAGUCGAGCGGCAGCACGGGUACUUGUACCUGGUGGCGAGCGGCGGACGGGUGAGUAAUGCCUAGGAAUCUGCCUGGUAGUGGGGGAUAACGCUCGGAAACGGACGCUAAUACCGCAUACGUCCUACGGGAGAAAGCAGGGGACCUUCGGGCCUUGCGCUAUCAGAUGAGCCUAGGUCGGAUUAGCUAGUUGGUGAGGUAAUGGCUCACCAAGGCGACGAUCCGUAACUGGUCUGAGAGGAUGAUCAGUCAACACUGGAACUGGAGACACGGU